This 274-nucleotide ribosomal RNA is filed under the name uncultured bacterium. RNAcentral describes it as "partial 16S ribosomal RNA". It matches the Rfam family "Bacterial small subunit ribosomal RNA", at positions 523 to 796 of the family's 1533-position model. The record is from RNAcentral.
AUACGGGGGGAGCAAGCGUUGUCCGGAAUCGUUGGGCGUAAAGGGCACGUAGGCGGUUUCUUAAGUCGAAUGUGAAAUCUCACGGCUCAACCGUGAAACUGCGUUCGAAACUAAGUGACUUGAGUUUGGGAGAGGUGUACGGAAUUCCUGGUGUAGCGGUGGAAUGCGUAGAUAUCAGGAAGAACACCAAUGGCGAAGGCAGUACACUGGCCUGAAACUGACGCUGAGGUGCGAAAGCGUGGGGAGCAAACAGGAUUAGAAACCCGGGUAGUCC